AACUUUCUGAGGAAUCGGCUUCACCCGGAAAAGGUGAUGAACAAGCUUCAUUUCCACCACCGCCAACACAACCUCCUCCCAACCUUGACAGAUUUNNNNNNNNNNNNNNNNNNNNNNNNNNNNNNNNNNNNNNNNNNNNNNNNNNNNNNNNNNNNNNNNNNNNNNNNNNNNNNNNNNNNNNNNNNNNNNNNNNNNNNAUACAACGUAAAUUAUGAUGUAACUUGUACAUUGACAUGUCUUCUUUUAGUUUUUUUUUCCUUUUAAUGGUGGUAUUAGUACCUUGUUGAGCUCAUUCCGUUGGGAGAAGGAAGACUAAGAAAAAUAUGCCAUUUUGGUCAAUAAAAAUGCUCUUUAUCAUAUCCUUGAAUAUCCGAGGUAGUAAUAAUAUUUCAGUUAACUAGGUGAAGUUUGACUUAGUUGUCAGCCUGUCAGGAGUAUCCCAAAAAAAAUUGUGCUGUGUCGAAGUGACUAGGGUAACCCUACUAGGCAUACUGAGGAAUUUUCAUUUCCAGCCUAUCAAACUCUUCUUCAUAUUAUAAAUCAUCAAUAAUUUACCGAGAAUUCUAAGGUCUUGGUGAAACUUUGGAAAAUCAAGGUAAUUAUCAAAGGAGGAUCCUGUAGAUAUUAAUUGUCUAGUGGUCCUAUGACUGUUGUUGGAAAAGAAUAUAUUUUACUUAGAGAUGCUUAUGCUUUGCCCUGAAAUAGUACAAAACUCAAAAAUUCUAAUGGUAUUACUAGAUUUGGAAGUUGCUCUAGCCAUAAGAGCCAGAUCAUCCGAAAAAAACAAUUGGGAAAGCUUAGGGCCCUUGUGACUGAUUUUAAUAAGUUCCAGUUAUUAAUACUAACUUCAUUACUUAUGCCUCUAGAAAGCAUAUCUAAACAUAGAAUGGAUGCGUAAGGGACACUGGGUCACCUUGUCGUAUGCCCUUUAAAGGAUAGAAAUGAUUUGUUCUGCCAUCAUUAAUAAUUAAGUGAUAUUUUAAAAAAAUAUAAAUAUUUAAUAUUUUAAAAAGUAAAAACUAAAAAAAGUAUUAAUUAUAGUCCCCAUUCGUCAAUCCUAAAUUGUUCCUUUACCUUUUCAUAUCAACUAAAAUUUAGAUUUUUUUGACAUGCAUGUAAUAUAAUAAAAUUAGUUUUUCUUUUGCUUAAUUAAUAACGAAUUCGAAAAGUUUUAGUUGGCCAAUAAUAAUUAAUUUUUCAAAAAGAAUAUUACUUUAAGUGACCAACGAUCAGUUUGGAUUACUUUAAUAUACUAUUAAUAUUCAAACUGCUCUUUAUUAUAGAAAAAGAUCAAAUUCAAAUACAAAAAAAUUGACCAUUCGCAAAUUUCAGGCAUUUUAAAAAGUUUAUGGACUAUAACGAUGAAAUUAGCAAAUGAUAUUAAUCCUAAAUUAAAAACCUCAGCAUUUAGAUUUGUUGAAGCAAUCUCUGAAUAUGAGGAAAAUGAAAUAAAAGCAUUAAGAAAAUAUUCAUGUAACUAUAAAAAAGGAGAGUUAAAAAUAUAUAUAAUUUGCAUUUCAAUUGCGAGAUUCAUCGUCAAAUAUCAAGCUUUUGUUACGCACUAAGCAAAUAGAAGUUAUUUACACGGUUAAUUUACUAUGUCAAGAAAAAAUAUUUAAGGAUUUAAAAAAUUCGUAAAAAAUUAACGGGUAGGCUCGCCCUAGCCCGCGACCCUCUUAGGGUUGGGUUUGGCUGGAUAUUUUAAGGCCCGUUCAUGUGGCGAACCGGUUCGUCUUAGCCCAUAAAUUUAAAAGCCCACGAGGUUUGGGUUGAGCUAGGCUGGACUGCCCGUUUUGAAAACUCUAAUUAUAAACUUAAUGAUGUUGGUAUGGAAGUUAAAAUAAUAAAGGGUUUUAUGAAUAAAAGACCAUUUGAUUUCAACAAAAGCUUUUUCUAAAUCAAUUUUCAGGAGCAUAUGGGCCAUCUUACCUUUAAUGUUGUUAAAAUGAACUAUAGCUUCUGGUGUCACACCUUCUUUUUUACACUACACUCCGCGAAAGGCAUAAAUAAGAGAGUUUUUCCAAUUAAAUGACAAUUGAAACGGGAUUUAUUUAUUUAAUGAUUUCAGAGUCGCCACUUGGGAUAAUUAAUAGUGUGCCAAGUCACCGGUUUAAAUCCGGAGUCGAGGAAAAGAUUGACUCUAUUUUACAGUCUGCGAACCAGAAAUUCGGGUAAGGAAUUCUGUUAACCUGGGAAAAAGUGUUAGGCAUUCCCGAGUUCCGUGGUUUUAGCACAGUCGCUCAACUGCUAUAAUUGGCCUAUUAUAUGAUUUUAAUACAUGUUUUGAGCCUAUGUGCCUUUUUAACUUAUUAACCGCUUUUAACCAUUUUUAGGAAAGAUUCAACGUCGUAUAAAACAUGUCUUGAACCACGUCACAUAAAUGCACCCACGGUCUACGACACAUUUCAUCUAACAUUAUUGAGAUUUAGAUUUGUGUCAUAUAAAUACACACCCGAAUUUUUAAUAGUAGUCAUAGUAAUUAUAUAUAAUUAAUGCACUUGAAGCAAACUACAAAGUUUAUUUUCUCACUAAUAGUUGAAUUAGUCAAAAAUUAAAAGUCUAUUAAUAAUGCAAGAAAAUUAAAAUUCUGAAAAGAUAUAAUACUACAAUACAAAAGAAUGAAUGGGGCGCACAAAAGAGUAUGGUCAUGUUACUAAUUUUGAUGACAUUUCUCAAAGUCUUUUUAAUUCAAUAUUGCCAGAAUGCCAUAGUAAACCACUCAUUUUUAUUGUAUAGAGGUCAAACAUACAGUAAUAGUUUCUGCUCGUUUUUACGCCUCACCAUGUAUCUCGUGAAUCAAGUUAGAAGUGAGAAACAUACUAAACAUACAACAAGGCAACAAAUCACUAUCGGGAUGCAGUCCAGCCUCUUUCAUAUUAUUCAGCCAUCAAUUCCAACAUAAUUCAGCAAAUUUUACCCCCAAAAAGGAUAAUGGAAAACAGAGAAGACAAAAGAAACUGUAAUGGAAAAUCGAUUGCAGAGACAAAAUCUAGCAAUAAAUACCAAAAAAUGAGUUUGUUUAAGCAAGGCAGCAAGCCACUAUCGCCAUUUCAUGGAAACAAUUUGAAAUAGAAAGGGUCAAGUGCAAACAGAAAUACCAAAUAUUCCAUCUAAUGUAUCGUAUUUAAAACAAAUUAAGAGAAGGUUCUAAACAAAAUACAAAAACAACUAAAUAGUCGUGCAACAGUCAUAUUCAUCAAAAAAACAAGAACAUGGAGAAAAUAUUAGACUCAAAGUGGAAACGGACCUCAAUCGAAAACCGACAACAACUUCGAACGGAAAACAACCCCAAAUUUGAACCUCUUAAGAGCAAAUAACACUUGAAUCUCAAGAGCUUAGGAAUGGAAAACUUCAGACGAAAAUAAGAACUCCAACCGGAAAAUCAACGGACAGAACCUUGGCACCUCCGGCGACCUCGAAUCGGCCCAGAGAUCAAAAUUGAACCUUAAAUAACUCGAACACUGACUUCAAACGAGACAGAAACUGAAAGCAAAGAGAAAACCAUCGAGACCCAUUUUAUUGAUUUCUGGUAUCUUAAAGAACAAAGCAACCAAUCAGUAAAGACCAUUGAGACCUAUUUUUGAUUUUUUUUUGUUCACUGAUUUCUGUCCGAGCCUUGCUUUUUCGUUUCCAGCCUUUGUUUCGUGUGUGUGCGCGUGUGUAUUAGGCAUCUGGUGGUCGAGGUCAAGGGUGGUCGGUGAGUUUGAGUGUAGAGGGAGCGGCCGGUGACGAGGUCUGGGCUCAUUUGGUCGCCGGUCUGAUGAGAGGUGGAAUCGAAGGAUGGUCUGGCUCGUCAGUUGUUGAAGAGAGCAGGCGUCGAUGGAGGGACAGUCGUUUGGGGGUGGAAUGGUUAGAAGAAGAUGAUCUUUAGGGGUGGGGGUCCUCUUUCUUUUUGUCUUCUCCGGCGCAGCUCUUUUUGUGCAUAUAUGUAUUGUAGAGUCUAGGUUUAGGUUUAU
RNAcentral lists this long non-coding RNA (3956 nucleotides) under Nicotiana benthamiana. RNAcentral describes it as "long non-coding RNA (NBEN_LNC029346)". The record is from RNAcentral. Lineage: Eukaryota; Viridiplantae; Streptophyta; Magnoliopsida; Solanales; Solanaceae.